AGGUCCCACUAUAGGAAGCAUGCUAACGACAACCACCCUCCGCGAAACAAUACCUAACGGAGUGAGAGUGUCGAAGGAAAUGUGUGUGGGGGGCAGUUUUAAGUACGUAGACGCCAUGGAUGGCGAAUGGUGUAUGCUGCUAGUAAGAAACAGCAGUAUCUCUUAAAGAUUUUCUACCUCCAGCUGGC
Non-coding RNA from Glossina fuscipes fuscipes, 188 nucleotides. The record is from Rfam. Lineage: Eukaryota; Metazoa; Arthropoda; Insecta; Diptera; Glossinidae.